RNAcentral lists this ribosomal RNA (445 nucleotides) under uncultured bacterium. Its description in RNAcentral is "bacterial SSU rRNA". It matches the Rfam family "Bacterial small subunit ribosomal RNA", at positions 330 to 792 of the family's 1533-position model. The record is from RNAcentral.
UCCAGACUCCUACGGGAGGCAGCAGUGGGGAAUAUUGGGCAAUGGGGGAAACCCUGACCCAGCGACGCCGCGUGAGGGAAGAAGGUUUUCGGAUUGUAAACCUCUGUCCUUGGUGACGAUAAUGACGGUAGCCAAGGAGGAAGCCACGGCUAACUACGUGCCAGCAGCCGCGGUAAUACUGAGGGUGCAAGCGUUACUCGGAAUCACUGGGCGUAAAGAGCGCGUAGGCGGGAUAGCAAGUCAGAUGUGAAAUCCUAUGGCUUAACCAUAGAACUGCAUUUGAAACUGUUAUUCUAGAGUAUGGGAGAGGUAGGUGGAAUUCUUGGUGUAGGGGUAAAAUCCGUAGAGAUCAAGAGGAAUACUCAUUGCGAAGGCGACCUGCUAGAACAUAACUGACGCUGAUGCGCGAAAGCGUGGGGAGCAAACAGGAUUAGAUACCCCCGUA